GAUGAAGAACGUAGUGAAAUGCGAUAAGUAAUGUGAAUUGCAGAAUUCAGUGAAUCAUCGAAUCUUUGAACGCAUCUUGCGCUCCUUGGUAUUCUGAGGAGCAUGCCUGUUUGAGUGUCAUUAAAUUCUCAACUACACUGACUUUGAAUUGGUGCGGCUUGGAUUUGGGGGGAAAAUUGUUGUGGGCUUUUUGUAUAGUCUGCUCCCCUGAAAUUGAUUAGCGGUACCUUUGUGGAACUGUCUACAGGUGUGAUAAUUAUCUACAUCUUAGACAUCUGCUGGAAUGCUGCUUUCUAAACCUUACUUGUAUUGACAAUCUUGACCUCAAAUCAGGUAGGACUACCCGCUGAACUUAAGCAUAUCAAUAAGCGGAGGA
This 376-nucleotide unclassified non-coding RNA is filed under the name soil metagenome. RNAcentral describes it as "partial contains 5.8S ribosomal RNA, internal transcribed spacer 2, and large subunit ribosomal RNA". The stretch from base 1 to 120 matches the Rfam family "5.8S ribosomal RNA", at positions 35 to 154 of the family's 154-position model. The record is from RNAcentral.